UUUUGAUUGUUGCUCAGAAAGCCCUUAUUGUUUACCAGUUGGCUUUCGAGCAAUAAUUGAAACC
Molecule: microRNA precursor, 64 nt
Filed under: Drosophila simulans
Lineage: Eukaryota; Metazoa; Arthropoda; Insecta; Diptera; Drosophilidae
Description: Dsi-Mir-315_pre stem-loop
Rfam family: mir-315 microRNA precursor family
Source: RNAcentral